Triticum aestivum (bread wheat) is the source of this 125-nucleotide non-coding RNA. Lineage: Eukaryota; Viridiplantae; Streptophyta; Magnoliopsida; Poales; Poaceae. The record is from Rfam.
CAUAUACUCCCUCCGUCCGGAAAUACUUGUCGAAGAAAUGUACAAAAAUGAAUGUAUCUAGAACUAAAAUACAUCUACAUACAUCCAUUCCGCCGACGAGUAUUUCCGGGCGGAGGGAGUACCUG